CCUACGGGGGGCAGCAGUGAGGAAUAUUGGUCAAUGGGCGGAAGCCUGAACCAGCCAAGUAGCGUGCGGGAUGAAGGCCCUACGGGUCGUAAACCGCUUUUGCACGGGGAUAACACCCUCCACUUGUGGAGGUCUGCAGGUACCGUGCGAAUAAGGGCCGGCUAAUUCCGUGCCAGCAGCCGCGGUAAUACGGAAGGCCCGAGCGUUAUCCGGAUUUAUUGGGUUUAAAGGGUGCGUAGGCGGUCCGGAAAGUCAGCGGUAAAAGCCCGGGGCUCAACCCCGGCGAGCCGGUGAAACUGUCGGACUAGAGACGGCGAGAAGUACGCGGAAUGCGCGGUGUAGCGGUGAAAUGCAUAGAUAUCGCGCAGAACUCCGAUUGCGAAGGCAGCGUACCGGCGCCGGACUGACGCUGAGGCACGAAAGCGUGGGUAUCGAACAGGAUUAGAUACCCUGGUAGUC
RNAcentral lists this ribosomal RNA (459 nucleotides) under uncultured bacterium. RNAcentral describes it as "partial 16S ribosomal RNA". It matches the Rfam family "Bacterial small subunit ribosomal RNA", at positions 338 to 795 of the family's 1533-position model. The record is from RNAcentral.